AGGCUUAACACAUGCAAGUCGAGGGGCAGCAUUGUAGCUUGCUACAGAUGGCGACCGGCGCACGGGUGAGUAACGCGUAUGCAACCUGCCUUUUACAGGGGGAUAGCGCGAGAGAAAUUUGGAUUAAUACCCCAUAGUAUCAAUUUACCGCAUGGUAAGUUGAUUAAAGAUUUAUCGGUAAAAGAUGGGCAUGCGUGGCAUUAGCUGGUUGGUAAGGUAACGGCUUACCAAGGCGACGAUGCCUAGGGGUUCUGAGAGGAUGACCCCCCACACUGGUACUGAGACACGGACCAGACUCCUACGGGAGGCAGCAGUGAGGAAUAUUGGUCAAUGGGCGAGAGCCUGAACCAGCCAUCCCGCGUGAAGGAAGACUGCCCUAUGGGUUGUAAACUUCUUUUCUGCACCAAGAACGUGCCCUACGUGUAGGGCAGUGACGGUAGUGCAGGAAUAAGCAUCGGCUAACUCCGUGCCAGCAGCCGCGGUAGUACGGAGGAUGCGAGCGUUAUCCGGAUUCAUUGGGUUUAAAGGGUGCGUAGGCGGCUUCUUAAGUCAGUGGUGACAUCCUGCGGCUCAGUCGUAGAACUGCCAUUGAGACCUGGGGGGCUUGA
Molecule: ribosomal RNA, 608 nt
Filed under: uncultured organism
Description: bacterial SSU rRNA
Rfam family: Bacterial small subunit ribosomal RNA
Source: RNAcentral